Molecule: long non-coding RNA, 1265 nt
Organism: Dromiciops gliroides (monito del monte)
Lineage: Eukaryota; Metazoa; Chordata; Mammalia; Microbiotheria; Microbiotheriidae
Exons: 5
Source: RefSeq, a predicted model, not a curated record
CGACUGCGAGCUGCGGUAAUCACGGGGCAGAGGGCCAAGGGGCAUUGGUGGGCGGUUACUUCCGGCGGACAUAGUCCAAUCAUGGAGCCAAAGAGCCAGUCCCCUAUAAAAACCAGAAGAGGCGGGCUCCUCAUUCUUUCCGUGUUCUUGCGCCUUUUUGGAGUGGAGAUGGAGCUCGUGAAGUCCUGUUGCGAACCUCAGCUCAGUAGGGCCCCGCUGCUUCCGAGUUUGAGGCAGGGAUUGGCGGUGCCUGCUGGCCUCACCCUUCCUCUCUCACCCUUUCGGCCCAUCCUCCUGCAAGUGGAGCUCUCCUGCGGCGCCGCCGGACGGUCGAGGUGUACCCUGUGCUGUGGAUGAACUACCAAACAGAUUUUAAAAAGAAGACCCUGGAGAUUAGCCAUGCAAAAAUUCACAAUCAAACAGUGAACACAAAUUGUGAAAUUUUACUAUUAAAACCAAGGAUCAGGGGCGGCUAGUUGGCACAGUGGAUGAAGCACCGCCCCUGGAUUCAGGAGGACCUGAGUUCAAAUCUGGCCUCAGACACUUGACACUUAACUAGCUGUGUGACCUUGGGCAAGUCACUUAACCCCCACUGCAGGGGGCCCCCCCACCCCCAAAAGGGGAAAAAAACCAAAAACAAGGAUCAAUCUGACCCAACAAGCAUAUUGUAGCCAUUGUGACAUAAAAGAUUCUCCAAGCAUAUUGAUUAUUUGAAUCAACAUUUGGUUGCUUUGAGGAACAGGGUUCAGUAAGUGACCUUUCAUGAACAGGCAGACCCUGUUCAGUUAGUAAUGAGGCCACAGUUGAGUGUGUAAGGAAGUGUUGCUGAAGACCCAAGUGCUGUGGAUGAACUUAACCACCAAACAGAUUCUGGGAUGAUAUCAAGCUACAACAAUUUCUCCUGCAUACAUUUCUGUUUGUGUUGUGGAUCUUAGGGCUCCUGAUUUCUUCCCGUGGGGCUAUCUCAAAGAAAAAGUUUGUUAGCAAGACUCAGACACUCCAAGAGCUGAAGAAUGGUAUUCGGGCCAAAAUCAGUCCUGGAACCUGAAACACUAAGAGGUGUCAUGGAAGAGGUUUAGGAAGGCCACGUUUGUGUGGAGCAGAAAAUGGACAUUUAUAAGAUUUGAUUUUUCACACAUGAUAUAAAUUCUGGUAUUGCGAAUUAAAAACAAAGGAGUUAUUAAAAAUUGAAACCCCUUUGACUUUUCGUUCGCCCUUUAUAUUAUGUCAUUAAUUGUAAUUGAAGUUCUUCUGAAUAAACUGAA